CCCCCCGCCUCGGCAGCAGCCGGACAGCCACAUCUGCCAGCGAGACUGGAAGCAGGUGAGGCUCGCGGGGACUGCGGGGGAGGGAUCCCGGGGACCUGGCUGGUUUGCAGGUCAGCGGGACGGGCUGCUUCGGCCAGCACGUGCACCUCCUGGACCUCUUCCCGGAGACGGCGGACGUCGAGGGCUGGCACCUGGGAGGUGAGACGGCCACCUGCGGAAACCAGCGCCUGCCUAGUGGACCCGAGCCUUUUCCAGACGUCCGUGGGGAGCACCGUGUCACACACUGCACUUACACCACAUCAUGCCAUUUCCAGCCCUAGAACACGGGUGUCAUUACACCCAGGUUACACUUGAAGGAAAGGCAGUCCCAAAGGGGCAGGAAAAUCGCCCCAGGGCUCUCCCAAGCUGC
This 409-nucleotide long non-coding RNA is filed under the name Ictidomys tridecemlineatus (thirteen-lined ground squirrel). RNAcentral describes it as "lncRNA (ENSSTOG00000031249.1)". Lineage: Eukaryota; Metazoa; Chordata; Mammalia; Rodentia; Sciuridae. The record is from RNAcentral.